GAUGAAGAACGUAGCGAAAUGCGAUACGUAAUGUGAAUUGCAGAAUUCAGUGAAUCAUCGAAUGUUUGAACGCGUAUUGCGCUCUCUGGUAUUCCGGAGAGCAUGCUUGUUUGAGUAUCAGUAAACACCUCAACUACCUUUUCUUUUUUGAAAUUGGAGCUGGACUUGAGUGAUCCCAACGCUUUCUUCCAAGAAAGUGGCGGGUUGCUUGAAAUGCAGGUGCAGCUGAACUUUUCUCUGAGCUAUAAGCAUAUCUAUUUAGUCUGCCUAAAAAACAGAUUAUUACCUUUGCUGCAGCUAACAUAAAGGAGACUAGUUCUUGUGCUGACUGAUGCAGGAUUCACAGAGACAGCUUCGGCUGACUUUGUAAACUCGAUCUCAAAUCAAGUAAGACUACCCGCUGAACUUAAGCAUAUCAAUAAGCGGAGGA
RNAcentral lists this unclassified non-coding RNA (430 nucleotides) under soil metagenome. RNAcentral's name for it is "partial contains 5.8S ribosomal RNA, internal transcribed spacer 2, and large subunit ribosomal RNA". The stretch from base 1 to 120 matches the Rfam family "5.8S ribosomal RNA", at positions 35 to 154 of the family's 154-position model. The record is from RNAcentral.